RNAcentral lists this long non-coding RNA (594 nucleotides) under Rattus norvegicus (Norway rat). RNAcentral's name for it is "long non-coding RNA NONRATT004301". The record is from RNAcentral. Lineage: Eukaryota; Metazoa; Chordata; Mammalia; Rodentia; Muridae.
UCUUUUCACAGCAGGGAGUACUUUCUUGGUGCUUGGACACUCAUAUGUACACAUGCAUACACCAAAGACAUGCAUGUGCCCAAUAUGCUAUGUGCAUGCACCAAAUAUGCACACGUGUGACAAACACAGGCCACAGAGGCACGUACCAGAGAUGCACACGCAUGCAAAGCACACACCAAACAUAUAUGUGUAUACACACUGCUCAUGCACCACACACUCAUACAGACCACACAUGCACACCUGUGUACACUCAGAACACACAAGUUCGCACGCACCAGAAGCAAGUGCUGUGGUCCCUUUCAGAUCUCAGCUCAGGCGUCUUUUCCCAAGGCGGGACGUCCCUGGCCCACGGCCCACUUACGGGUCUUCUUUAAAGCUCCACGUUCUUAGUUUAUACAGCCUUAAAGACGGGUUGUUUGACGAGUCCCUCUUGCUAUUAACUAUAAAUCCACAAGGACAGUAGCUGUGUCUGCUUCCCCACCGUUUUAUGCCUCCUGUUUUACACAGUGCCUGCCCUGUGUCAGACCUUAUGAGUGAGAAAAGGAACGACCAAACUUGGAUGCUCUCCUGGACCAGAAUUCUAAAAAAAAAAAA